AAUGAACGUUGGCGGCGUGGAUUAGGCAUGCAAGUCGAGCGAGAACCGUAGCAAUACGGGGACAGCGGCGAAAGGGACAGUAAUGUGUAGGUACCUACCCCUGGGUUCGGGAUAGCUGCGGGAAACUGCAGGUAAUACCGAAUAAUGUCUCCGGACCAAAGGUGUGAUUCCACCUGGGGAGGGGCCUGCAUCCUAUUAGCUUGUUGGCGGGGUGACGGCCCACCAAGGCAACGAUGGGUAGCGGGUGUGAGAGCACGACCCGCGUCAUUGGGACUGAGGUACUGCCCAGACACCGACGGGUGGCUGCAGGCGAGGAUCUGCGGCAAUGGGCGAAAGCCUGACCGAGCGACGCCGCGUGCGGGAUGAAGGCCUUCGGGUUGUAAACCGCUGUCGUAGAGGAGGAAAUGCAGGGGGGUUCUCCCCUUUGCUUGACCUAUUCUAGGAGGAAGUACGGGCUAAGUUCGUGCCAGCAGCCGCAGUAA
This 482-nucleotide ribosomal RNA is filed under the name uncultured bacterium. RNAcentral's name for it is "partial 16S ribosomal RNA". It matches the Rfam family "Bacterial small subunit ribosomal RNA", at positions 28 to 523 of the family's 1533-position model. The record is from RNAcentral.